UCGGAUAUGGUGUAACGGCUAACAUUGCCGCCUCUCAUCUGGAUAACGUAGUGCGGGUUUCGCGGCAGCUCGGGGUUCGAUUCCCCGUAUCCGAA
This is a non-coding RNA of Armillaria nabsnona, 95 nucleotides long. Lineage: Eukaryota; Fungi; Basidiomycota; Agaricomycetes; Agaricales; Physalacriaceae. The record is from the annotation of a GenBank genome assembly.